Molecule: ribosomal RNA, 253 nt
Filed under: uncultured bacterium
Lineage: Bacteria
Description: partial 16S ribosomal RNA
Rfam family: Bacterial small subunit ribosomal RNA
Source: RNAcentral
UACGUAGGGUGCAAGCGUUGUCCGGAAUUAUUGGGCGUAAAGAGCUCGUAGGCGGUCUGUCGCGUCUGCUGUGAAAACUCAGGGCUUAACCCUGAGCUUGCAGUGGGUACGGGCAGACUAGAGUGCGGUAGGGGAGACUGGAAUUCCUGGUGUAGCGGUGAAAUGCGCAGAUAUCGGGAAGAACACCCGUGGCGAAGGCGGUUCUCUGGGACGGUACUGACGCUGAGACGCGAAAGCGUGGGGAGCGAACAGG